AAAUGAAUAGACGGGGGCCCGCACAAGCAGCGGAGCAUGUGGUUUAAUUCGAAGCAACGCGAAGAACCUUACCAGGGCUUGACAUCGUCUGACCGCUUAAGAGAUUAGGCCUUCCCUUCGGGGACAGACAGACAGGUGGUGCAUGGUUGUCGUCAGCUCGUGUCGUGAGAUGUUGGGUUAAGUCCCGCAACGAGCGCAACCCUUGUAUUUAGUUGCUAACACAAAAGGUGAGCACUCUAGAUAGACUGCCGAUAAGAAGUCGGAGGAAGGUGGGGAUGACGUCAAAUCAUCAUGCCCCUUAUGUCCUGGGCUACACACGUGCUACAAUGGUCUGUACAGAGGGUAGCGAAGGAGCGAUCCGGAGCCAAUCCCAAAAAGCAGAUCCCAGUUCGGAUUGCAGGCUGCAACUCGCCUGCAUGAAGUCGGAGUUGCUAGUAAUCGCGGAUCAGCAUGCCGCGGUGAAUGCGUUCCCGGGCCUUGUACACACCGCCCGU
RNAcentral lists this ribosomal RNA (494 nucleotides) under uncultured bacterium. RNAcentral's name for it is "bacterial SSU rRNA". It matches the Rfam family "Bacterial small subunit ribosomal RNA", at positions 903 to 1397 of the family's 1533-position model. The record is from RNAcentral.